This 497-nucleotide ribosomal RNA is filed under the name uncultured bacterium. Its description in RNAcentral is "partial 16S ribosomal RNA". It matches the Rfam family "Bacterial small subunit ribosomal RNA", at positions 28 to 507 of the family's 1533-position model. The record is from RNAcentral.
GAUGAACGCUGGCGGCGUGCUUAAUACAUGCAAGUCGAGCGGACGGACGAGAAUCUUGCUUCUCUGAUGUUACCGGCGGACGGGUGAGUAAUACGUGGCUAACCUGCCUAUAAGACUGGGAUAACUUCGGGAAACCGCAGCUCAUACCGGUUAAUAUUUUGAACCGCAUGGUUCAAAAGAGAAAGACGGUCUUGCUGUCACUUAUAGAUGGAUCCGCGCUGCAUUAGCUAGUUGGUAAGGUAACGGCUUACCAAGGCAACGAUGCAUAGCCGACCUGAGAGAGUGAUCGACCACGCUGGAGCGGAGACACGGUCAAGACUGCUACGAGAUGCAGCAGUAGCGAAUCUUCCGCGAUGGGCUGAAGAAUGACGGAGCAACGGCGCAAGAGUGAUGCAGGUCUUCUGAGCGUAAGAAGCUGUUAUUAGGGAAGAACAUAUGUGUAAGUAACUGAGCACAACUUGACGGUACCUACACAGAAAGCCACGGCUAACUACGUG